GGACCCGCACAAGUAGUGGAGCAUGUGGUUUAAUUCGAAGAUACGCGCAGAACCUUACCAACACUUGACAUGUUCGUCGCGACUUUAAGAGAUUAAAGUUUUCGGUUCGGCCGGACGAAACACAGGUGCUGCAUGGCUGUCGUCAGCUCGUGUCGUGAGAUGUUGGGUUAAGUCCCGCAACGAGCGCAACCCUCACUUUUAGUUGCCAUCAUUAAGUUGGGCACUCUGAAAGAACUGCCAGUGAUAAGCUGGAGGAAGGUGGGGAUGACGUCAAGUCCUCAUGGCCCUUACGUGUUGGGCUACACACGUGCUACAAUGGCAUUUACAAUAGGAAGCAAGAUGGCGACGUCAAGCAAAUCCUAAAAAGAUGCCUCAGUUCGGAUUGUACUCUGCAACUCGAGUACAUGAAGCUGGAAUUACUAGUAAUCGC
This 430-nucleotide ribosomal RNA is filed under the name uncultured bacterium. Its description in RNAcentral is "bacterial SSU rRNA". It matches the Rfam family "Bacterial small subunit ribosomal RNA", at positions 917 to 1345 of the family's 1533-position model. The record is from RNAcentral.